Molecule: unclassified non-coding RNA, 2558 nt
Filed under: Hevea brasiliensis (rubber tree)
Lineage: Eukaryota; Viridiplantae; Streptophyta; Magnoliopsida; Malpighiales; Euphorbiaceae
Source: RNAcentral
UCUACAAACACCAAAGAAGCUGCAACUUGAAAUGGGAAUCCACUAGCUUCCUUGUCCGAUGGAUCGAGUCAAGCAAGUGAGACUAUAGCAAAGAGGCAGGCUCGAAAUCAUCCAAAUUCGCCAUGACUUAAAAUCAGCACUAUGAGUGCCUAAAUCUUCCUAGCAAUGACUUUUGACAGAUUUUGGAGUUCAAAAUGGGGAUGGAUUCAUUGUAUAUACCAUUCAUCUUUAUUCUAAAGAAAGCUUGUUGACAUCAGCACCUGUAAUGCUUGGCUUCUUUAGCGUCUUAUUUUGGCAUAUUCAAAUAAUGAUUGCCUUCAUUCAUAUAGGAAGUUGCCCUUGGAAAUGAAUAUUUCUGUUAAUCAUUCUCUCCUCUUAAUCUUCCUAGAGGCAUACCAUCAGAAAGCUUCCUUGACCAAUUAGAUAUAUCAAGAAAAGAAUAGCAACUGCAAUAGAAAGAGAUUUUUUGCCUGAGACAUAGACUAAUCUUUAACUAAAGGAAAGGAGUCUCACUAACAAACGAGUUGCUUCCUAAGAUGUUAAAGCGAUAGAAAUUCAAUCAAUGCCUUCAGGAAGCCUCUUCCUAGUUAUCUUUCAAACAUUGGAUAAAGCGCAUCAUAAGCCUAAAAGAAAGAAAGCGAAGACUUCUUCAUCCCUUGGUUAUUAAAGAUUGCUAUUCUUUGCAUCUCAAACAAAAAUCUUUGGUCACAUAGCCUAGAGGCUACCGCAAGAAGUCAACUUCGCCUAUGACCUUAAGGAAUAAAAAAUGUUAACCUGGAAUUCAUAGCAAGAACUUGACUUUGCUUGCUAUUCUUUCCUAAAUACGAUUCAUCAUUAACUAGCUAACUCGAUGGGAUGUCAACAAUGGGAAUACCAAAUGCAAGACCCGGACCUUGUUCAUGCAGUGAAGUACCUCUUUCGCUUCAAGAGUUUUCAUAAUGACUAUAAAGAAUGAAUCUCUCUCCUCGUGAAGGCUAUUGGGAUCGAUCCCUUCAACUUGCAUGGAAGGGAGCAAGAGAAAAGAGAAACUAUAGUUGUUAGUAGCUUUUCAACCUCCUCGAGGUAUGGAAGUCAAGCAACCAAUAGCCUUUUUACCUACUAUGCCUUUCAUUAGGUGAGCAAAAAGCAAAUAGCUUUGGCCUAGUCUUCCUUAUUAUUGACAACGUACAAAGGAAGCAUCAUCACUAAAAGACUGUCACUAAACAAAAGCAAUUCUUUUUUACACUCAACCAUGAAACAGAGUGCAACUUGAGUGAGCAAUCAACACUAACCCCUUCUACUGUUGCCUAUGAACAGUUGACAUCGAUCAUUUUGCCCUACUUAACUUUCAGAAAAAAAAAAGAACAAAAAAUUAGAACUAAAAAUAUAAUUCGUUUUAACAACAUUACAAAUAACAUUUGAAAGAAGUCGUGCCCUACCUAUUCUACAAAGAAGAGAUGCCAAAUCGUCCUCCCCUUACCUUAUUUAUCAACCUUCCCUUGCUUCAGUACACAAUGAUUAAUCUCUGGCUAUUGCUUCAACUAGGUAGCCUUGCUAGGCCGAUCCUAAGGUUUCUAUUGCGAAUUUGGACCUAGUAGUGUGACUGUGUGAAUAUCAAACUGGUAGGCUACAUAAUGUAUUGGGCUUGAAACUAACCUCCCCAUCAUCAAAAUGACCUUCGUGAGGCACACCUAAGUGUGCCUCUUGGAGAUCGUGCACCUUUGGGUUCUUCGAGCGCUAGGGGCCUUGCCUGGUGCACCUUGCGCUUCGGGCACGCUUGAGCCAUUUUAGUUUGAUUUGCCAAUACCUAUAUAACCUUUAAUUUUCUUGUAUAUUGCCGAUCUAAGACUUGUUUCAACAAGUGAUAUUUCAAAAUAUCACUAACUUGAGAUGAAUAGGCAAAUGCAAAUAAGUGAGUUGAGAUAAGAGUCUGUGAAGUAUGAGAUGAGUUUACUUGAGCUAAGACCAACCAUUACUAAAAUGUUAGAACUAACCAAUUAGAUAAUUAAACCUUCACCCCUUACAAGCCAUUUGAAUUCUUUGUAAUCUUUAGAUGUAGGAGUCUUGACACAUCCCAAUUACUCGUAUUUCUGCUACAUUCUUAAAUAGUACCCCGUACAAAUGUCCCCCAUCCAAAUACCUCCAAUAUCCCCAGUUAUAUAAUAGAAAUAAAGUGCCCACACUAGAAUUUUGAAGUGAUCAAACUAAAGUUAUACAAAGUUCAAAAGUAAAACACUAGAAAAAUAAUAUAUGUGUGUGUUUUGGUUUAGUUAACCGACCAGCCUUCGAAUUUAAAAACCAUAACCAAACUAGAUUAUCGGCUUUUUGAAAUAUUCAAACCUAAAUGAUUUGGUUAACCUAUUUUGUGGUUCAGUUUUGCAGUUUUCUUUGCUCACCCCUAAUAUAAAGCCUAAUGUAGGCCAGCUAAAAAUAGUCUAUCUAGUUGUGAUCAAUUAUGAGUUUCAGUUCUAUUAAUACUCCAAUAAAUGAUCUUAUGAUUUGUAAGAUUUGGAUCACAACAUGGAUUAAACACUGAGUAUAGUGUUUUAUUUUCCUUAUUUUUUAUUUUAUUUUAUUUU